Molecule: long non-coding RNA, 944 nt
Filed under: Homo sapiens (human)
Lineage: Eukaryota; Metazoa; Chordata; Mammalia; Primates; Hominidae
Description: HSALNT0395399
Source: RNAcentral
GGCAGGGGUCUGAGACUACUUUUGAGAAGAGAAACAACGCAAAACGAUCGCUGGAGGGCCAGAGCCCUGGUCGAAGGUGCCCUAGCUUUUAUGACCUGGUUAAUUGUGUCUCCUUUUUAUUUUUAUUUUUUUCCUUACCACUACUACUACUACUACUUUUAUUUUUUUUUAACCGAUACACUUUGGAGAGAAGAAGCAGACACAGGUUCCCACGGCGUCUGACGCCUGCGGAGCAAGUCCAGAGCCAGCUGGACUCGCAGCCUCUGGCCCGGCGGCACCAACUCCUCACUGGGUCAUUUUGAGCGCGCUGUGCCCACCUUUUCUGUUGCGUGUGGACGUGGGGAGGAUCUUCUAAGUCCCUCCAACGAAGGCAAGUGUGAGACUCUGGCCCUUUAUUUGUAAGAAGCAAGCCUUCAGAUUGCAGAAGUGUCGCGCGGGUCGCCGUGCGUUGCGCGAGUGGGAAGAUGGAGGAGGCCGGCACGCUGCUUUCGUGGACGCAAGUGAACCGGGCGUGAAGGCAGGGUGCGAGCUCUGCCCUUGGCCCAGCCCUGCGUGGGCGCCGUCCCAGAUUCCGGGCGGUGCGGGGUGCAGAGAUCUGGAGAGACUUGCGGGCUCCCCAGCGCAGGCUGCUCUGGGAUUUCGUUGGAAGAUCCGGCAGAGCCUUGGAGGAGAGGGCCCGGGAGGCUGUGUGUGCAGCGGAAACUUGUACGAAUGCCCCCACAGCGGAAAUGGUGCGCACGAGUAAUUUCUGCGGUGCACCCUUUUAAAAAUUGACAAGUGAACAAGAUCAAUUUUUUAAGAAAGCAAAGGUAGAAAACAAAAGGCGUGCGACUUCUUGACUGGCUUGUUCCCGCCUUUCUUCCUUCUCUAUACUCAGAUCAGAAACUUUUCUUUAAUUGCUCUUAUUCAGUGCGACAACUUUUAAUAAAAGCAUUUGCAUUUUA